This 78-nucleotide transfer RNA is filed under the name Pseudomonas viridiflava. Its description in RNAcentral is "tRNA-Met". It matches the Rfam family "tRNA". From Rfam's summary of the family: Transfer RNA (tRNA) molecules are approximately 80 nucleotides in length. Their secondary structure includes four short double-helical elements and three loops (D, anti-codon, and T loops). Lineage: Bacteria; Pseudomonadati; Pseudomonadota; Gammaproteobacteria; Pseudomonadales; Pseudomonadaceae. The record is from RNAcentral.
UGGCGGGGUGGAGCAGCUUGGUAGCUCGUCGGGCUCAUAACCCGAAGGUCGUUGGUUCAAAUCCAGCCCCCGCAACCA